This 546-nucleotide ribosomal RNA is filed under the name Vibrio sp. A14(2019). RNAcentral's name for it is "bacterial SSU rRNA". It matches the Rfam family "Bacterial small subunit ribosomal RNA", at positions 996 to 1533 of the family's 1533-position model. The record is from RNAcentral. Lineage: Bacteria; Pseudomonadati; Pseudomonadota; Gammaproteobacteria; Vibrionales; Vibrionaceae.
UCCUGCGGAGACGCGGGAGUGCCUUCGGGAACUGUAAGACAGGUGCUGCAUGGCUGUCGUCAGCUCGUGUUGUGAAAUGUUGGGUUAAGUCCCGCAACGAGCGCAACCCUUAUCCUUGUUUGCCAGCGAGUCAUGUCGGGAACUCCAGGGAGACUGCCGGUGAUAAACCGGAGGAAGGUGGGGACGACGUCAAGUCAUCAUGGCCCUUACGAGUAGGGCUACACACGUGCUACAAUGGCGCAUACAGAGGGCGGCGAGCUAGCGAUAGUGAGCGAAUCCCAAAAAGUGCGUCGUAGUCCGGAUUGGAGUCUGCAACUCGACUCCAUGAAGUCGGAAUCGCUAGUAAUCGUGGAUCAGAAUGCCACGGUGAAUACGUUCCCGGGCCUUGUACACACCGCCCGUCACACCAUGGGAGUGGGCUGCAAAAGAAGCAGGUAGUUUAACCUUCGGGAGGACGCUUGCCACUUUGUGGUUCAUGACUGGGGUGAAGUCGUAACAAGGUAGCGCUAGGGGAACCUGGCGCUGGAUCACCUCCUUACGUAAAGA